UACGUAGGGCGCAAGCGUUGUCCGGAAUUAUUGGGCGUAAAGAGCUCGUAGGCGGCUUGUCACGUCGGGUGUGAAAACCCGGGGCUCAACUCCGGGCCUGCAGCCGAUACGGGCAGACUAGAGUUCGGCAGGGGAGACUGGAAUUCCUGGUGUAGCGGUGAAAUGCGCAGAUAUCAGGAGGAACACCGGUGGCGAAGGCGGGUCUCUGGGCCGAUACUGACGCUGAGGAGCGAAAGCGUGGGGAGCGAACAGG
RNAcentral lists this ribosomal RNA (253 nucleotides) under uncultured bacterium. RNAcentral's name for it is "partial 16S ribosomal RNA". It matches the Rfam family "Bacterial small subunit ribosomal RNA", at positions 524 to 776 of the family's 1533-position model. The record is from RNAcentral.